Molecule: ribosomal RNA, 308 nt
Filed under: Haementeria lopezi
Lineage: Eukaryota; Metazoa; Annelida; Clitellata; Rhynchobdellida; Glossiphoniidae
Also listed under: 1 other name
Description: eukaryotic LSU rRNA
Rfam family: Eukaryotic large subunit ribosomal RNA
Source: RNAcentral
GUCGCAGGGCCGUACGAAACCCGAAGGCGAAACGAAAGUGAAGGCCGUUCCCGAGAACGGCUCGGGCGGGAUCCGCGGAGGAGAGAUCCGCCGCGGCGCACCGCCGGCCCGUCUCGGCCGCAACGUCGGCGAGGCGGAGCAGGAGCGCGCGCGUUGGGACCCGAAAGAUGGUGAACUAUGCCCGAGCAGGACGAAGCCAGAGGAAACUCUGGUGGAGGUCCGCAGCGAUUCUGACGUGCAAAUCGAUCGUCGAACUUGGGUAUAGGGGCGAAAGACUAAUCGAACCGUCUAGUAGCUGUUCCUUCCGA